CUUCGGUGCUAGUGGCAGACGGGUGAGUAACACGUGGGAACGUACCUUUCGGUUCGGAAUAAUUCAGGGAAACUUGGACUAAUACCGGAUACGCCCUUCGGGGGAAAGAUUUAUCGCCGAUAGAUCGGCCCGCGUCUGAUUAGCUAGUUGGUGAGGUAAUGGCUCACCAAGGCGACGAUCAGUAGCUGGUCUGAGAGGAUGAUCAGCCACAUUGGGACUGAGACACGGCCCAAACUCCUACGGGAGGCAGCAGUGGGGAAUAUUGGACAAUGGGCGCAAGCCUGAUCCAGCCAUGCCGCGUGAGUGAUGAAGGCCUUAGGGUUGUAAAGCUCUUUUGUCCGGGAAGAUAAUGACUGUACCGGAAGAAUAAGCCCCGGCUAACUUCGUGCCAGCAGCCGCGGUAAUACGAAGGGGGCUAGCGUUGCUCGGAAUCACUGGGCGUAAAGGGCGCGUA
Molecule: ribosomal RNA, 454 nt
Filed under: uncultured Afipia sp.
Lineage: Bacteria; Pseudomonadati; Pseudomonadota; Alphaproteobacteria; Hyphomicrobiales; Nitrobacteraceae
Description: bacterial SSU rRNA
Rfam family: Bacterial small subunit ribosomal RNA
Source: RNAcentral